UGGGGAAUAUUGGACAAUGGGGGGAACCCUGAUCCAGCAAUGCCGCGUGUGUGAAGAAGGCCUGAGGGUUGUAAAGCACUUUCGGUAGGGAGGAGGGUGAUUAGGUUAAGAGCUAGAUUACUGGACGUUACCUACAGAAGAAGCACCGGCUAACUCCGUGCCAGCAGCCGCGGUAAUACGGGGGGUGCGAGCGUUAAUCGGAAUUACUGGGCGUAAAGGGUGCGUAGGUGGUUAAUUAAGUUAUCUGUGAAAUACCUGGGCUUAACCUGGGCAGGUCAGAUGAUACUGAUUGACUCGAGUAUAGGAGAGGGUAGUGGAAUUUCCGGUGUAGCGGUGAAAUGCGUAGAGAUCGGAAGGAACACCGGUGGCGAAGGCGGCUACCUGGCCUAAUACUGACACUGAGGCACGAAAGCGUGGGGAGCAAACAGGAUUAGAUACCCCUGUAGUCC
RNAcentral lists this ribosomal RNA (449 nucleotides) under uncultured bacterium. RNAcentral describes it as "bacterial SSU rRNA". It matches the Rfam family "Bacterial small subunit ribosomal RNA", at positions 355 to 796 of the family's 1533-position model. The record is from RNAcentral.